AAUAAAAUAAACUAUAUAUAAGUUAUAGAACUCAUAAUUCUAUCAAGGAUCCUCCUUUUAUUA
Molecule: transfer RNA, 63 nt
Filed under: Galendromus occidentalis (western predatory mite)
Lineage: Eukaryota; Metazoa; Arthropoda; Arachnida; Mesostigmata; Phytoseiidae
Description: tRNA-Met
Source: RNAcentral